CGGAGCCGUUCCAGCCGCAACCAAAUCUCUUCCAUGAUCAACGCUUCCAGCAUCCCGUGAGAUUAGGCGUGAGCCCAAGCAUCUAGCCGUCCCCCUCUUCCGGAUUCGCAUCCGCCCACCAGCGCGCUCCCAGGGGAUCCAUCACCAGGUGAGAGUUGGCUAUAUAAAGAGGGCCAUCGGCAGGGGCUAAGGGGGGAGGGUGGAGUGCUCGGCUGGUCCAAAGAGGGGAGGAGAUCUGAAAGAAAAAGGAAAACAGAGCCAUGCUCUGUUUUUGACAGAAAGAGAAAUAUUAAAAAAAAAGCCCACCGAGCGUGCCAUAGGAGGAGUUUUCUGAUUUUUUUUCUUUCUUCCUUUGUUUUUAUGUUUUAUUUUGUAGAAGGAGGAAGCAUUAGGCUUCCAAUCUUCACUUUAUUUUUAUACUUAUCCUUUU
Molecule: long non-coding RNA, 430 nt
Filed under: Phoenix dactylifera (date palm)
Lineage: Eukaryota; Viridiplantae; Streptophyta; Magnoliopsida; Arecales; Arecaceae
Description: long non-coding RNA (PDAC_LNC008982)
Source: RNAcentral